This 315-nucleotide ribosomal RNA is filed under the name uncultured eukaryote. RNAcentral describes it as "partial 18S ribosomal RNA". It matches the Rfam family "Eukaryotic small subunit ribosomal RNA", at positions 1470 to 1796 of the family's 1831-position model. The record is from RNAcentral.
CCCUUAGAUGUUCUGGGCCGCACGCGCGCUACACUGACGAAUGCAACGAGCUUAUAACCUUGGCCGACAGGCCCGGGCAAUCUUUGAACGCUGGUCGUGAUGGGGAUAGACUUUUGCAAUUUUUGGUCUUCAACGAGGAAUUCCUAGUAAACGCAAGUCAUCAACUUGCAUUGAUUACGUCCCUGCCCUUUGUACACACCGCCCGUCGCACCUACCGAUUGAAUGGUCCGGUGAAGCCUCCGGAUUGGCGCGCACCUCGGUGCCGCCGAGAAGUUGGCUAAACCUUACCAUUUAGAGGAAGGUGAANUCGUANCA